Molecule: long non-coding RNA, 1831 nt
Organism: Frieseomelitta varia
Lineage: Eukaryota; Metazoa; Arthropoda; Insecta; Hymenoptera; Apidae
Exons: 3
Source: RefSeq, a predicted model, not a curated record
AAAAGAAGAAAAGAAAAUACGAGAUAAGAUAAAAAGCAAAAACGAGCCAAGUGUCGCGAUAAAUUAAUUAAUCACGCGCCGGAACUUUAGUCGAUCGGAGAGAAAAUCGGAGGGAAUUCUCCACGGCAAAGGAAAAUUGAACGAGAGAAAUAGCAGCGGCUACCGUUCUUGGAAAGAAUAACCGCGGAAAUGAAGUGUCAAUGACGCACGGCCCACGCUCUGUUGCUGUUCUCCUUCGAAACCUUCCGGUCGAAUGAUUGGAAAGGGGGAGAAAAGAAACAAACGUCUGACGACUCGUUGUUGGCUCUUUUACUUCGUUUUAAGUACUUACUCGCGUCCACUCGAUUGACAUGGCUCUUUCAACAAUAGUCAAAAUUUGACUAAUUUAUAGUUUCUGUCGACGUACCUUACAGACGUGAAACAGUGUACUCUGAGAGAUUUAAAUGAUUGUAAAAGCUUGUGUACUUCAUUGUAAUAUAAAAUUUUCUGUUUUGUCCUUUUUUUUUUACUUUAACAUCUCUGAAGGAAAUUUUGUGUUUUAAUCGCCUGGUGUAAAAGCGAGGUUGUGUCCAGGAAUUGACGAGCUACCAUCUGUCCAGUGUUCAAUUAUUUUGUGAUUUUGAGGAUUUACCAGAAGAUGAAUAGUGUGAUGUUGCAAUAAAUUUAGAGAUGCCAGAAGGAAUCAAUUUCAGUGUAUGGCCAUGAAUCAUAGAAGAAACAAAUAACGACGCAAAGCACGUUCUAAGACAGAGCCGGCUAACUGGCCCUCUCCACAUGCUUGGUAGGAAAGUCAACAGGCUGAGAGAGUGGGGGCUCAUGCACGGCAAGGAAAUUUCAAUGCAGUGGGGGGUAGCACUAGCGGUCAGAAGAAUAAGGGCCCACCAAUUGGCCAUCUCUGUUCUAAGAUUUCAAAACAAAUGUCUAACAAUUCCAUUUGGCAGACUUGAAAAGUGCCAGACCUGCUGGAUUGCUAUUGAAAAAAUAACUAAAGCGUUAAGAGAUAGAAUAUGAACAUCAAAAUUAUUUCGAGGCACGUCUUAAAAUAGCGGUGCAAAGUCACAUUUUUUUCGGCUGACAACCACUGGCAAGAAGAAGUCACGUGACAAUGUGUUAUUUGGGAUAUUGAGUUGCAUCGUUCACGUUGCAGAUCGAAGGAACGUCCCUCCCUGACUUUCGAAAUUCCAGCACGCUUUCAAUCUGACACAAAACUCGUUCUCGCUGUGUUUUCUUUUCUUUCUUCUUUGAUCGACGACGCGUUCGUUGACGCAAAUAUCAACUCAACAAUUUCUCGGACCGUGAUUCAGGCGUUUGCAAUGUUCUCUAUCGAAAUGUAACACGCGUGCACGUGUAUUUUUUUCACGGCCGACGAUCGUCUCCCUCCGCAAAUAAUUCGACGAUGACGACGACGCGGUGAAUCGAUUUAACGAUGAUUAAAGCCACUUCGAUGGCGCGUUUUUAUUAGCUGGCACAUAAAAGUUAUUGAAGCUGUCGACUGACGGUCACGUUACGGAAAUUCCUCUCCGGGGUUGAUCACGCAUCUUUCUCGACAAAAAGGAAUUACGAGAAUUAGAAUCGCGAAAAAUUUCGUUCGUAGCCAAUUUCGUGCAGCAUUUCUUCGUCUUAGAUCAGUGGUUCCCAAUCUUUUUUUGACCAUGCACCACCUAAGCAUCUCUGAAAUCCCGACGUUCCGAAUUCUUAUUCAAAAAGUGAAUUUCCUAUAUGGAAAAAGUCUAAAAGACCAUUAACAAACUUUCAAAGAACAUGACAUCCGUGAAAGAAAAAAAUAAAAAAACGAAGGGAAGUAGCUUGAACAUGUCACUGAGAAAUUGUU